UGCUGCAGCACCGUGGAAAAAGGCUGUCGUGGAAAAACGUUUUCUUUACACUGCGAGGAAGUUUAUUCUUCCGAACAAAAGUGACUAUUUACUACUAACCAGAAAGGAUAUUUUUUCCUGUUGAGGACUUUCCCUUCAAAAGAGAGACAAAUGUGUUGACAGGUGUGAAUCCCUUUAGAAGUCAAUGAAUAGGUAAUGAAGUGGACGGGUUGUAAUUACUGCAAUGGAAAGCAGAGCAGCAGGAUGUGAACGAGGGAGGGAAAGCUCUGUCUGGCGUGAGCAGAGGGAUGGCUUCCCUGCAGUCCCAGCGAUUCCUCUGCUCCAAUUUAACAUCACAAAUUAAACCAGCGAUUCCUCUUCAUUAACCAAUUAAACAACCAAUCCUGCCAUCUACACCCGCUUCAUCAGUGUGGCUCUCCUGACAUGCCUGGAGCUAAUCACCUGGCAAUCAGAACCAUCACAUUGUAAUCCAGUGCAUGCUACAACUUAAAUCUUCCUUUAUCCCAUGUGACCUACACAGUGCAGCACUUCAAUGUUUUGAUUUGCAUAGCGACCCCAGAGUGUUAAUUACUGUCCACCCUCUGUCACCAUUAAGUUCAUGGCAUUGCCACCUGCCAGCCAUUACAGUAUAAGCAGUAUUCAUUGUACUAUUCAUCUAGCCUUGUUAAAAAAAUGACACUUUGAGAUUGGCCUUUCAAAUUGUGCUGCUGUACACAGUUUUAUUAUUGGCUUUUUGUUCCACGCGCUUGUCAUUGUGAGGGUUGAAUCCCUUUGUAAGACCCAACGGUGGAAUACACCUCCAGCUGGGAGAAUCACUUAGUAAAACAAUAGAGGACAACUUUUCAUUAUUAACAAGUAAAAUUCCACAUGCUGCAGUUCAUGAAUUAUUUAAUGUUGAGUUCCCUUACCAGGCAGAAAAAGAAAAACAACAACACCACCCUGCCUUUUCAUCACUUCUCUUUAUCACAACUUCAAAGAGAACAAACAAAACUCUCAAUCUAACAAGCACCCAACUGAGCAAAAAACAUGCCCCUCCCCACCUAAUUUCCACAGGUUUAGCAAACCAGGAGGCAGUGUGGUCUAGUGGUUAAAGAAAAGAACUUGUAACCAGGAGGUCCCUGGUUCAAAUCCUGUCUCAGCCACUAACUCAUUGUGUGGCACUGAGCAGUCAUUGAACCUCCUUGUGCACUGUCUUUCAAGUGAGAGGUUGUUGUAAGUGACUUGGCAGCUGAUGCAUAGUUCAUACACCCUAGACUCUGUAAGUUGCCUUGGAUAAAUACAUCUGCUAAAUAAACAAAAAAUAACUUUGAAGCUGGUGACCAAAGGUUUUUAGAUCAGGGAGGAGCACAUGUUGUUAUUAUAACCCAGAUGAAAAUAAUUGCCAUAACUACCCUCUAUUUCUACAUCCUCAGUUCUUAGUGGCUGACUGUGGUGCCAUCUGUAGUGCUGGGUGAGUCAUUCGAGUGAGUGAACCCUAUUGCCACCAUAUUGAACCUUGGCUGUGGGCACACAGGAAGCAUUGCAUUGACCUAUCCACUGCUCUUAUGGAGAAAACCCCAGGGUUCAGAAGCUUAGCAACA
Long non-coding RNA from Polyodon spathula (Mississippi paddlefish), 1580 nucleotides. RefSeq lists it as uncharacterized. The transcript is spliced from 3 exons. The record is from RefSeq and is a predicted model, not a curated record. NCBI's taxonomy places the organism in Eukaryota, Metazoa, Chordata, Actinopteri, Acipenseriformes, Polyodontidae.